RNAcentral lists this ribosomal RNA (939 nucleotides) under Triticum aestivum (bread wheat). RNAcentral describes it as "partial small subunit ribosomal RNA". The record is from RNAcentral. Lineage: Eukaryota; Viridiplantae; Streptophyta; Magnoliopsida; Poales; Poaceae.
AUGACCACCGCGCCGUUCCUCUUCCCCUCGCUCUCCCGACUACACUCCGCGCGGGCCUCUUCGUUCCCCAAACCCCCCGUCGGGUCCGGGGCAGGGGUCGCCUUCCCCGCCCGGCCGUACGGGUCGUCGCUUCGCCUGAGGUCGUCCGUCAUGGCUGCCACUGGCGUCGGCGGGAACGGCUCUCCGAUGGCGCCUGAGGAGUCCACAGGUGGUUUGAUUUCUGCGCUGUUUGCUAUGCUGCUUCGUGCAUGUGAUUUGUUCCUAUGUUAUGAUCAUCCAAGUCACCGUUGUUCAGCUUCUGUACUAGCUUAUCUCUUAUUCUGUUCAUUGUUUUCAGUGUCGUCUAGGUUGGGGGAGGUGAAGAGGGUAACCAAGGAAACAAAUGUGCAUGUCAAGAUCAACCUGGACGGCACUGGUGUUGCAAACUCCAGCACAGGGAUACCCUUCUUGGAUCACAUGCUUGAUCAACUGGCAUCUCAUGGACUGUUUGAUGUAUACGUGAAGGCGACGGGGGACACACACAUUGAUGAUCAUCACUCAAAUGAGGAUAUUGCUUUAGCAAUUGGAACGGCGUUACUUCAAGCACUUGGUGACCGAAAAGGAAUUAACCGGUUUGGGCAUUUUACAGCACCACUUGAUGAGGCAGCAGUUGAGGUUAUACUGGAUCUAUCUGGUCGACCUCAUUUGAGCUGCGGCUUAAGCAUUCCUACCGAGAGAGUUGGCACAUAUGAUACACAGCUAGUUGAGCAUUUCUUCCAGUCCCUUGUGAAUACAUCUGGCAUGACGCUUCACAUCCGUCAGCUUGCGGGGAACAACUCACACCAUAUUAUUGAGGCAACUUUCAAAGCAUUUGCCAGGGCGCUUCGACAAGCAACGGAAUAUGACUUACGCCGCCAGGGUACUAUCCCCAGCUCAAAAGGUGUUCUGUCAAGGUCGUAG